UACGUAGGCAGCAAGCGUUGUUCGGAAUUACUGGGCGUAAAGAGUGUGUAGGCGGUGUUCUAAGUCUGUUGUGAAAUCUCCCGGCUCAACUGGGAGGGUGCGGCGGAGACUGGAAUGCUAGAGUAUGGGAGAGGUAAGCGGAAUUCCUGGUGUAGCGGUGAAAUGCGUAGAUAUCAGGAGGAACACCUGUGGUGUAGACAGCUUACUGGACCAUGACUGACGCUGAGACACGAAAGCGUGGGUAGCAAACAGG
This 253-nucleotide ribosomal RNA is filed under the name uncultured bacterium. RNAcentral describes it as "partial 16S ribosomal RNA". It matches the Rfam family "Bacterial small subunit ribosomal RNA", at positions 524 to 776 of the family's 1533-position model. The record is from RNAcentral.